AUUGAACGCUGGCGGCAGGCCUAACACAUGCAAGUCGAACGAGUGGCGGACGGGUGAGUAAUGUCUGGGAAACUGCCUGAUGGAGGGGGAUAACUACUGGAAACGGUAGCUAAUACUGCAUCCCAUCAGAUGUGCCCAGAUGGGAUUAGCUAGUUGGUGGGUUAACGGCUCACCAAGGCGACGAUCCCUAGCUGGUCUGAGAGGAUGACCAGCCACAAUGGAACUGAGACACGGUCCAGACGCCGACGGGAGGCAGCAGUGGGGAAUAUUGAAAAAUGGGAGAAAGCCUGAUGCAGCCAUGCCGCGUGUAUGAAGAAGGCCUUCGGGUGGUAAGGUACUUUAAGCGGGGAGGCGUUACCCGCAGAAGAAGCGCCGGCUAACUCCGUGCGAGCAGCCGCGGUAAUUC
RNAcentral lists this ribosomal RNA (406 nucleotides) under uncultured bacterium. RNAcentral's name for it is "partial 16S ribosomal RNA". It matches the Rfam family "Bacterial small subunit ribosomal RNA", at positions 30 to 526 of the family's 1533-position model. The record is from RNAcentral.